AGGAGUUUGAUCCUGGCUCAGAAUGAACGCUGGCGGCGUGCCUAACACAUGCAAGUCGAACGGGAAAACCCUUCGGGGUGAGUAUAGUGGCGAACGGGUGAGUAACGCGUAAGAAUCUGCCCCUAAGUGAGGAAUACUCUCGAGAAAUCGGGGUUAAUACCACAUACGUCCCUUCGGGGAGAAAGGUGGCCUCUUGCUACCGCUGAGGGAUGAGCUUGCGUACUAUUAGCUUGUUGGUGAGGUAAUGGCUCACCAAGGCUUUGAUGGUUAACCGGCCUGAGAGGGUGAACGGUCACAUUGGGACUGAGAUACGGCCCAGACUCCUACGGGAGGCAGCAGUGGGGAAUUUUGCACAAUGGACGAAAGUCUGAUGCAGCGACGCCGCGUGGAGGAUGACGGUUUUCGGAUUGUAAACUCCUGUUAAGUGGGAAGAAAGACGUACGGUUAAUACCCGUACGGGAUGACGGUACCACUAGAGAAAGCUCCGGCUAACUUCGUGCCAGCAGCCGCGGUAAUACGAGGGGAGCAAGCGUUAUUCGGAAUCAUUGGGCGUAAAGGGCGCGUAGGCGGCCCGCUAAGUCAGUUGUUAAAGACUACGGCUCAACCGUGGGGAUGCGACUGAUACUGGUGGGCUAGAGAGCAAAAGAGAGAAGUGGAAUUCUCGGAGUAGCGGUAAAAUGUGUAGAUCUCGAGAGGAAC
This 699-nucleotide ribosomal RNA is filed under the name uncultured bacterium. RNAcentral's name for it is "bacterial SSU rRNA". It matches the Rfam family "Bacterial small subunit ribosomal RNA", at positions 1 to 707 of the family's 1533-position model. The record is from RNAcentral.